This 3787-nucleotide long non-coding RNA is filed under the name Marmota monax (woodchuck). Lineage: Eukaryota; Metazoa; Chordata; Mammalia; Rodentia; Sciuridae. The record is from RNAcentral.
CCUGGGUCCCUUUUACUCCUGUGUCCAAAUGCUCAAUUCAGAGGAAAAGGAGUGAGGAGAAGAGUCUGGAGAACAGAGCUCCGCCACAUCUGGACAGAUCUUCAGCAGAAGUCACUGAGGGCCCCAGCCAGUCCCAGGUUCUGCUGGUCCCAUCGCUGGAAUGUAUCAGAGAGAUAGUCACACCUUGCACAAAUGGGAUAAUGAGGCAGGGUAGCGAGGAGCCUCAGGAGGGCUGGGAAGGGCAGAUCAGGUUCCUGAGGGUAGAGAAUCGGGCAACAGCAGAGCACACCCCCAGGGAGCUCACCCGGACCUGUGGCUUCCCCGCUGGCUCCUGGCAUCCACCUGUCAACCAGCAUACAGAGGUUUAGCUCACGUGCCAAGGCAAAGGUCAGGUGCCAGAGGCAAAAAUUAGACCUUUACCAAGCUGUGCCCUAGGAAAAGGGUAAAGAGAGUGCCAGUAAAAGGGGGCUACUCUGGUGUUUAACACAAGACGCCCAUCAUCAUGCCCUCGUCUUCAUUGCCAGGUUAAAAAGGCAAAGUUAGUUAUGAUGCCUAGAGGAAGUGAAGGAGGGGAUGGGCUUUCUUCUUUGGAGCAUGAAAGUGCCUUUAGGUCGUGGCCUCUCAUCUGACUCAGGUGUGGCUACCUCGCAAGCCUCGAUGCAGUGAGAAGGCUGUGGUGCUGGGCCAGGCAGAGGUGCAAGGGUUCCAGGAAGCCCCAGGGUGCAGGUGUAGGACUCUGAAGCAGGCUUUGGGUCUGCUGGGUGUCACCCACUGCUGCUUUCUACCAGAGGGUGCGAGAGACAAGAGGGGAAAGGACCUUGGGCUUCUGAGAAGUCAGACUUGAUGCGUAUGUCCAUCCUGAAAUAAUUUUCCUUCAUCAAGCACAUUGUGCUAGAGCGUCAAGCAAACACCACACCUGUCCCCAGCGCACACAAGCUCUGCAGAUAGGGGUGUUUGAAGAGAAUCAAAAUCUGGCCCUUGAUCUCCUCCCCUGAAGAGAGCAGAGUCUGUGAAUAAAGACUUACCUGACCAGGAGUGGUGGUGCACACCUGUAACCCCUGCAGCUCAGGAGGCUGAGACAGGAGGAUUGCAAGUUCAAAGCCAGCCUCAGCAACUUAGCAAGACCCUGUCUCAAAAAAUAAAAAGGGGAAGUGGCUCAGUAGUUAAUAAGUUUCUCUGGGUUCAAUCCCCGGUACCAAAAUAAAGAAAGGCCUGCCUGGCUUAGAAAUACUGCCCAGGACAUACCCCUCAAGUCUUGUCAGACUCAGCCAGGUCCCAGGCCUAUCAAGCAGCUCUAGAGUAAUCUAACCAGGAUAUUCUUGUGACUCUUAUAUGAUAAUGGGGUGGGGUGGUGCUUGCUAAAAUGAAGGACUGCCCUCAAAGAGCUCACUCUCCCAAAAGGGGAAGGCAGAUGCUUUUGAGCCCUUAUAUCCAAGGCAGCCACUGAAUAUGGAAAGAGGGGGAUAGGAGGCCAGGAGCAGGUUGUCCCAACACAGAGGAUGGUAGAUUGUUUGCAAAGUGGCAACUGGGCUGGAGAACAAUUCUGGAAGAACGUAGGAGAUAGGAUGUCCUGGUAACUUAUGGGAUGUGAGAUAGGGGCAGGAGUAUUAGAAAGAGAGGACAUGAAUUCCAAGCUGAGCUUAAAGAUGGGCAGAAGCCUCUCCCAGGUGGAGCUGGAGUAGGACUUGGAGCAGGGACAGAGCGAAGGCCCAGGAGAGGUGGGACAGCCAAGCUCACUGAUGGAACCCAGGGCUCAGGUCAUGUGUGGGCAGUGAAAAGCAAAGAAGAGAAUAGAAAGUUGGGUAUAAGUGCUUUAUUUAUUCCCUGAAAAUACCUUGCCAUCUUGAUUGAGCAUCCCAUUCCUUCACAAAGAUUUUUUUAAAAACCUUUGGCCUAGAUAUUUAUCAUCAUCUCUGAUAGGUGCUGCAGUGUCUGUAGGCCCCAGUGGGUGAUGGGUAAAGAGUGUUAAAUAACAGAGCCUGUUUUCCAGUCAUUUAGGCAGCCAGAGGAAAAAGACAAAAGCAACUCAGGGUCACAAGUCGGGGAACGACCCACAAAUGAUUCUAAGAUUCAUCAGCCCUUCAAGCUUUCUGCAUUCUUCUGUGCACCAAGUCACAACUUCAGCUGCUGGGAAUGAAUGGGUGGGGGGAUGGCCUUCCCAGAAGAGAUAGUGCUUGAUAAAGAGGGGAUUGGUGUGAGAGUAAUUGGGUGUAUAAAUAACUGCAUCCUUUUCCUGACAGAGGGCCCCUCAGAGAGCAUGGAGGAGGGAAAGUGGCCUCUUAAGGCAGAACAGAAGGUCUGAAGCCAGCUCACCCCUCCUUGGGUGGUAUGAAGCAAAACACAAUUUCUCUGGGUCUCAGUUUUGUCAUAGAUUAGAUGGGUGCAAUGUGCCCCUAUCCAAGUCAAUCUCUUCAUACAGUCCAAAUUAGAUAAUGGUCAAAUGCUUAUUAAAAAAAAAAAAGAGGUUGCCACUUUUUAAAAAAUAUUUAUUUUUCAGUUGUAGUUGGACACAAUACCUUUAUUUCGUUUAUUUUUUAUGUGGUGCUGAGGAUCGAACCCAGGGUCUUGCACAUGCUAGGUGAGCACUCUACCGAUGAGCCUUUUAACAAGGCCCACAACCCCUGAAUAUUGGCUAUAAAAUCAACAGCAGCUUUGGGAGUAGCAGACUCCACAUCACUCAGUAUGCCCUCUGGAAUGGCUGUGGUGAAGUCAGUGAGUCCUUCCUAAGGGUGAUGAGAAACAAAGCCUCACAUGGCCAAACAUCAGGUGUGCCACUGGUAUCCGGCAGCUAAUUUCGACUCCCUUCAGCUGAGCUACCUGAGCAUAAGGGUUAUCAGUUUGGCUUGAUCUGGUUGAACGUGGAUGUCUGCCUAUUUCCCCAUUUUGCCACGUGAAGAGCUGCACAAUCCCAGAACAGGGUCACCACAGGCAAGCAGGUCUGCCAUGCUCAGCAUCUUCACAGGAUUAUCAGGACCAUGGGGAUAUAGAUUUCAAACUAUGUUCAGUACAGUGGAUCUCAGCCCUGGCUGCUCAGUGGAAUCAACUCGGAAGUUUUUACAAAUGCUGAUGUUUUGGUCACACCUUAGACAAAUGGAAACCAAAUCUUUGCAGUCUGUAUAUAAACAUUUCUAACAUUCUCCUGGUGAUUUCCAAUAUGCAGCCAGGGUUGGGAACUUCCUGGUUAAUGAGUUCUUCUGCUACAAUUUUUUGGAAGUCUGAAAACCAUAUUCUUAUGACACCACAGUGACUCACUUCAGACCAUGAGUGUUUACUAUGUGCCAGACGCUGAGCAUGUAAACAUAAACAAGUCUUUUUUUUUACCCCCCAUUGUAAUGAUCACAUCUGUUUUACUUUGCUAGGUAAAUUCAGGAGAGCAGGAUUUGCAUGAGUCAACUUCACAACUAGCAAGGCUCUCAACCCUGUCCAAAAGGAUUCAGUGGGUAAACUUAGGUUUCUUCGGGUCAUUAUAUAACACUCUCGGGAGACCUCAGAUAUUGCAAUAAAAAGCCACAGAGAACAAAAAUCAUUUUUAAGAAUUCCAAGGAUGCUGGAGACAAGACCAACACACUCAGAAAGUAGAUGCUCCUACACACCACCUACAGAUCACUAGGAAAUUCAUUAGGAAAAUCAUUUCACUCAACAGUAGCAGCAGCCUCCUAUAUCUUUUUAACAGUUUCUGUAUCAAAAGGUCAUGUCAGGUGAUGGGCCACAUGCUAUCUAGCCUUGCACAAGAACAUUCUAUGAUGUUUGCAUGACAAAAUCAACUACUAACAUGUUUCUCAGAAUG